GUAGGUGAACCUGCGGAAGGAUCAUUAUCGUAGGGCUUCGGCCCUGUCGAGAUAGAACCCUUGCCUUUUUGAGUACCUUUCGUUUCCUCGGUAGGCUCGCCUGCCAAUGGGGACCACAAAAAACACUUUGCAGUACCUGUAAUAGUCUGAACAAACAAACUAAAAUUAAAACUUUCAACAACGGGUCUCUUGGUUCUG
Molecule: unclassified non-coding RNA, 198 nt
Filed under: rhizosphere metagenome
Description: partial ribosomal RNA internal transcribed spacer region
Source: RNAcentral